RNAcentral lists this ribosomal RNA (311 nucleotides) under uncultured Hyphomicrobiales bacterium. RNAcentral's name for it is "bacterial SSU rRNA". It matches the Rfam family "Bacterial small subunit ribosomal RNA", at positions 21 to 358 of the family's 1533-position model. The record is from RNAcentral. Lineage: Bacteria; Pseudomonadati; Pseudomonadota; Alphaproteobacteria; Hyphomicrobiales.
GGCUCAGAAGGAACGCUGGCGGCAGGCUCAACACAUGCAAGUCGAGCGGGCACCGCAAGGUGUCAGCGGCAGACGGGAGAGUAACACCUGGGAACGUGCCCUUUGGUUCGGAACAACUCCGGGAAACUGGAGCUAAUACCGGAUAAGCCCUUACGGGGAAAGAUUUAUCGCCAAAGGAGCGGCCCGCGUCGGAUUAGCUAGUUGGUGAGGUAAUGGCUCACCAAGGCGACGAUCCGUAGCUGGUCUAAGAGGAUGAUCAGCCUCACUGGGACUGAGACACGGCCCAGACUCCUACGGGAGGCAGCAGUGGG